UCUGGUUGAUCCUGGCAGAGGUUACUGCUAUCGAGGUUCGACUAAGCCAUGCGAGUCGAAUGUAGCAAUACAUGGCGUACUGCUCAGUAACACGUGGACAACCUACCCUUAGGCCUGGGAUAACCCCGGGAAACUGGGAAUAAUACCGGAUAUCUCGCGAAUGCUGGAAUGCGUCGCGAUAGAAAGCUCCGGCGCCUAAGGAUGGGUCUGCGGCCUAUCAGGGUAGUAGUGGGUGUAACGUACCUACUAGCCUACGACGGGUACGGGUUGUGAGAGCAAGAGCCCGGAGAUGGAUUCUGAGACACGAAUCCAGGCCCUACGGGGUGCAGCAGGCGCGAAAACUUUACAAUGCCGGCAACGGCGAUAAGGGGACCUCGAGUGCCAGGAUACAAUCCUGGCUGUCGUAAUGCCUAAAAAGCAUUGCAUAGCAAGGGCCGGGCAAGACCGGUGCCAGCCGCCGCGGUAACACCGGCGGCUCGAGUGGUAACCGCUAUUAUUGGGUCUAAAGGGUCUGUAGCCGGCUGACUAAGUCUCUUGGGAAAUCUGGCAGCUUAACUGUCAGGCUUUCAGGGGAUACUGAUCGGCUCGAGACCGGGAGAGGUGAGAGGUACCUCAGGGGUAGGGGUGAAAUCUUGUAAUCCUUGAGGGACCACCAGUGGCGAAGGCGUCUCACCAGAACGGAUCUGACGGCAAGGGACGAAAGCUAGGGGCACGAACCGGAUUAGAUACCCGGGUAGUCCUAGCCGUAAACGAUACUCGCUAGGUGUCGGCCACGGUGCGACCGUGGUCGGUGCCGUAGGGAAGCCGUGAAGCGAGCCACCUGGGAAGUACGGCCGCAAGGCUGAAACUUAAAGGAAUUGGCGGGGGAGCACUACAACGGGUGGAGCUUGCGGUUUAAUUGGAUUCAACGCCGGAAAUCUCACCGGGACCGACAGCAAUAUGAAGGCCAGGCUGAAGACCUUGCCGGAUUAGCUGAGAGGUGGUGCAUGGCCGUCGUCAGUUCGUACUGUGAAGCAUCCUGUUAAGUCAGGCAACGAGCGAGACCCA
RNAcentral lists this ribosomal RNA (1047 nucleotides) under uncultured archaeon. RNAcentral describes it as "bacterial SSU rRNA". It matches the Rfam family "Archaeal small subunit ribosomal RNA", at positions 1 to 1054 of the family's 1478-position model. The record is from RNAcentral.